GAUUGAACUGAAGAGUUUGAUCCUGGCUCAGAUUGAACGCUGGCGGCAUGCUUUACACAUGCAAGUCGAACGCGAAAGGGG
RNAcentral lists this ribosomal RNA (81 nucleotides) under Betaproteobacteria bacterium RIFCSPLOWO2_02_FULL_63_19. Its description in RNAcentral is "partial 16S ribosomal RNA". It matches the Rfam family "Bacterial small subunit ribosomal RNA", at positions 1 to 77 of the family's 1533-position model. The record is from RNAcentral. Lineage: Bacteria; Pseudomonadati; Pseudomonadota; Betaproteobacteria.